AAAAAAAAAACCCCCAUCGAAAUGCAAAUUAAUGUUAUUGUAUCUUUCAAUGGAAUUAUUUCCAACGGAAUAAUGCAUCUUUAAGACCAAGAAUGAAUCACACCAACCGAAAACGGCAGGCGCCGGCUGCAUACUCUUUUUUGAUUAUUAUUUUUCUUUAAUUUAAACAAUGUGUUAUCUUAUCUCAUACUAUAGAUAGUGAAUAAAUAAACAUAUUAUAAAUUGCAAUUAAUCUGAAAUUAUACACCUGCAUUGAACUUUUAAAGACCAUAUAGGCAUAGAAAAAUGAGAAACUUGCAGAUGUAAACAUUCUGGAGUCGGCUUUUUUAUUUUUAUAUUCCUCCUGUAAAUAAGAGUUCCGUUUCUGUUGGUUUAAAUGUCCCGUCAGCGUCACAUAUUCUGAUUCAUUGUCUAUAAUUAUGUAAUUAAGUGUUUUAUAAUCAAGUUGUAACAUUUCUAUCGAAUUAAAUUUUAUUUCAUGUCAUUUGAUUUCCGAAGGUUACACAAAUCUCCACACAUAUCAGAAAUGUCCUCGAACAUGACGUAGUUAUCUUUUCCAGACCUUUGGGUUCUUUUUGAUGCAAUAUCAAAUACCCGCUCACAUAUUUCCGGUCCUUUUCUCCAACCGAAACUAGCAGGAUAGCAAGUCAUAGAACAAUCGAGAAAACACGAAACUUUUCCUU
This 683-nucleotide long non-coding RNA is filed under the name Mytilus galloprovincialis (Mediterranean mussel). Lineage: Eukaryota; Metazoa; Mollusca; Bivalvia; Mytilida; Mytilidae. The record is from RNAcentral.